Molecule: microRNA precursor, 56 nt
Filed under: Haplochromis burtoni (Burton's mouthbrooder)
Lineage: Eukaryota; Metazoa; Chordata; Actinopteri; Cichliformes; Cichlidae
Description: microRNA abu-mir-10564 precursor
Source: miRBase by way of RNAcentral
AACACAACGCGAAGAAAUAUGCACUACUAAGUGCAUAUUUCUUCGCGUUGUGUUUU